This 428-nucleotide ribosomal RNA is filed under the name uncultured bacterium. Its description in RNAcentral is "bacterial SSU rRNA". It matches the Rfam family "Bacterial small subunit ribosomal RNA", at positions 355 to 775 of the family's 1533-position model. The record is from RNAcentral.
UCGAGAAUUUUUCUCAAUGGGCGCAAGCCUGAAGGAGCGACGCCGCGUGGGGGAUGAAGGGCUUCGGUCCGUAAACCCCUGUCAUUUGUGAACAAAGGCUAUGGGUGAACAGCUCAUGGUUUUGAUAGUAGCAAAAGAGGAAGGGACGGCUAACUCUGUGCCAGCAGCCGCGGUAAUACAGAGGUCCCAAGCGUUGUUCGGAUUCACUGGGCGUAAAGGGUGCGUAGGUGGCCUGGAAAGUUUGAUGUGAAAGCUCGGAGCUUAACUCCGAAAUGGCAUUGAAUACUUCCGGGCUUGAGGUUCGGAGGGGAGACUGGAAUUCUCGGUGUAGCAGUGAAAUGCGUAGAUAUCGAGAGGAACACCAGUGGCGAAGGCGAGUCUCUGGACGACACCUGACACUGAGGCACGAAAGCUAGGGGAGCAAACAG